Molecule: transfer RNA, 76 nt
Filed under: Bacillota bacterium
Lineage: Bacteria; Bacillati; Bacillota
Description: tRNA-Thr
Rfam family: tRNA
About the family: Transfer RNA (tRNA) molecules are approximately 80 nucleotides in length.
Source: RNAcentral
GCUGCAAUGGCUCAAUUGGUAGAGCAGCUGAAUCGUAAUCAGCAGGUUGGGGGUUCGAGUCCCUCUUGCAGCACCA